UGAGGAAUAUUCCACAAUGGGCGAAAGCCUGAUGGAGCGACGCCGCGUGAGGGAUGAAGCCCUUUGGGGUGUAAACCUCUUUUUGUUGGGAUGAUACGCCGGGUAACCGGCUAGGACAGUACCAACAGAAUAAGCAUCGGCUAACUACGUGCCAGCAGCCGCGGUAAUACGUAGGAUGCAAGCGUUGUCCGGAUUUACUGGGCGUAAAGCGCGCGCAGGCGGCAGUGUAAGUAAGGUGUGAAAUCUCCCGGCUCAACCGGGAGGGUGCACUUUAGACUACACAGCUUGAGGUCGGUAGAGGGGGGUGGAAUUGCUGGUGUAGCGGUGAAAUGCGUAGAGAUCAGCAGGAACACCCGUGGCGAAGGCGGCCCCCUGGGCCGUACCUGACGCUGAGGCGCGAAGGCUAGGGGAGCGAACGGGAUUAGAUACCCCUGUAGUCC
Molecule: ribosomal RNA, 440 nt
Filed under: uncultured bacterium
Lineage: Bacteria
Description: bacterial SSU rRNA
Rfam family: Bacterial small subunit ribosomal RNA
Source: RNAcentral